GAUGAACGCUGGCGGCGUGCCUAAUACAUGCCAGUCGAGCGAACAGAUAAGGAGCUUACUCCUUUGACGUUAGCGGCGGACGGGUGAGUAACACGUGGGUAACCUACCUAUAAGACUGGAAUAACUCCGGGAAACCGGGGCUAAUGCCGGAUAAAAUUUAGAACCGCAUGGUUCUAAAGUGAAAGAUGGUUUUGCUAUCACUUAUAGAUGGACCCGCGCCGUAUUAGCUAGUUGGUAAGGUAACGGCUUACCAAGGCAACGAUACGUAGCCGACCUGAGAGGGUGAUCGGCCACACUGGAACUGAGACACGGUCCAGACUCCUACGGGAGGCAGCAGUAGGGAAUCUUCCGCAAUGGGCGAAAGCCUGACGGAGCAACGCCGCGUGAGUGAUGAAGGUCUUCGGAUCGUAAAACUCUGUUAUUAGGGAAGAACAAAUGUGUAAGUAACUGUGCACGUCUUGACGGUACCUAAUCAGAAAGCCACGGCCAACUACGUG
RNAcentral lists this ribosomal RNA (497 nucleotides) under uncultured bacterium. RNAcentral describes it as "partial 16S ribosomal RNA". It matches the Rfam family "Bacterial small subunit ribosomal RNA", at positions 28 to 507 of the family's 1533-position model. The record is from RNAcentral.